CCGAGAACGAGAAUGAGAAUGAGAAAAAAAACAAAGACAUAAAAAAAUUUAACUCGUAAAAAAUCUUGCUAUACUUACCCCUUUUUUUGCGUUUUUUAUUUUUCUAAUAAAUUGUUGCCCUGUCCGGCGUAAUAGGAAGCAUAAAUGUCUUACCCUAUAGCUGUGAGUUGAGAAGCAAAGAAAUUAUAUCGCAUAUAAGAUACUGCAAUAAGAUACACACGCGCGCAGUUUAGGUGAUACACUUCGAACGUUUAAACUGCAAUAUUGCAGUUUAUUGAAUAAGUGCCGGGAACUGAUAGGAAUGCUUAACUUCGCGAGAGAACACAAUAGCGCUGACUAUGUUAAACUUAUGCAAAGCAUUGCUUUCCGCUGACAGCUGAUAUUGAUCUAGAAUCCAGUAAGAGAGCAGCGUAUAUAUCGGUUCAAUUGGAAGUUGAUCGCGCUAGACGUUCUUUCUAAGGCAAAUAUGACUUUCUUAUUUGUUUUGCGAUGAUUUCAAUGACAAACUUUUUCUGCUUCCAAGCUUCAAGACUACGCUAGCGGUAUAAUGAGAACCAUAACCUGCAAUUUUAUCUUUUGCACCCGUUAUCGAGGCAUUGCGGUGUUUGCGUUUUAUGAAAAUGUUUGUAAUACCUAAGAGGAGGCUUCAGAGUCCCUUACAUAAAUUUCCUAAAGUAUAUCUAUUGUUGAGCAGCAUCAAAAUCUGAAUCGAUCUAAUCAUGUCCCUCAUGUCCAACUAUGUAAUGUCUCAGGUAAACAUUGAUCGUAAGAAUUAAAAAAUAUUUGCUUCAAGUUUAGCAAGAGGAACAUCUUGCAGACUGGUUGGAAUUGGCGACGAUCGAAGGACCCGCCUACAGUAUAACAUGAGCUAAGAACCCAUCUACUUUGACAAUCAAGAAAAACAGUUCUUGUUGAUUUCUACUAAAGCACCGCAGACACAGCGACAGGAUAUUUUCACGUAUUUUCUGUGAAUGGAUUCACCCUGACCCUGUAUCCACCUGACCACCACAUAUCAUUGAGUUUUCACUUUUUUGUCAAAAGGAGACUAUGUCAGAAGGAGACUUCAAGGACCACAUGAAGUACAUAAGUUUUCAUAUCGAAUUCGAAAUUUACCCAAGUAUGUCCAUCUGCCCAUACGAAUAAUAUUGAUAGUAAAUAUUCUUUCGACCGCAAAAAAGAAGAUUUCGCAUUCAAGUUUGUCAGGAACAUUGAAAGUACAUGCAAACUCACUGCUAUGGCAAAAUGGGGCAAGGACAUGCCUACUGUGCAAUAUAGACUGACAUCAUAUUUAUCUUGUUGACCCUGCUCAUAAACUACAAUAGAUGAAUGAUAGCAAUUUACAGGUAAAUGUUGCACAGAUGGAAAAAAUCAGCCACGCCUACUCAAUAUUAUAAAGUAUAAAAAUUUGGUUACUUAUUUUUUAUUUUUUUUUUGUGGUGACUGUAAAAGAUUUGAUCACAGCCUUCUACAAUUUUCUUUACAACGGUUCUAAUUCCGUGCGUAUGCAAGAACGGUAAUCGAGAAAAUUGAAGGUUUUAAAAACCUUGUGUUUGUGGCAUAUAAUGUCGGUAAUUGCAUGCCUCUUGAUUUCUCGCUGACUGAAUGAAAAUAAGAACACGAAAGUUAUUCUCGCGAAAUUACAGUCACAUGCACAAGUGUCCACAAGCAUCAUAAACAUUUUCUGCGUGAAUUAAUCGUCCUUUUCAAUUUAAAGUUUUUAUUUCUCUAAAAAUAAUUAGUGUGUGUAAUAAAUUGUGUCAUACAAAAUUGUUCUUCAAUACAAACUAAUAUCGGAAUUUUUGAAUUUUAAUUAUUUGUUUUUCAGAUUCAUUAUAGAAUAAACUUUAACACUGAAUUGUUCAUUCUUUUGCUGUAAGUGAAAUCAUAUAAAACGAAACAACAACUUUGCGUAAAUAACAAUAAAAUUAUUAAACACUAUCAAUUACAAUGCACCAGGCAAUGAAGUGUAAACGAACGCUGAUGAGAUAGCACAUUACAAAACCAACAUUAAAAUAUUUUAUCUUAUCCAAUACUGCAGACCUUUACAAAUAUAUGACAAUAGGAAUCCGGUGCUUGGACACUAGAAAGGGGAGAUAUAUUAACUUUCUUAUUCCAUUUGAUGCAUUGAAAAAUGAAGUCCUAAAUACAUGUUAAAAAAAAAAAAAACGCGACUUUUUCAACAGAAUUAACUAUGUCCGUCCCUCUCUCUGAUAUUUUUUAAUAACUUUCGCGAAAUGCUAAAAACUAUCGACGCCAGGUUUUUUUUUUUUAAAUAUUAUAACUUUGCAACAGGUUUUCUGCUUACAUGACCAAUAUCAGGAAUCGAUAUGUUAACAAUAUAAUCAAUCCUUCUCAUUCACUAGCUUUUCUAAGGAUUUUGAUGAUUUUUGUUGAAGGAAAAACUAACAUAUCUCCAACAGAUUAAUUUAUAAGCGCCAAUGAAAACAUACAUACUUACAGUUUAAGCAUUACGGAAAUCAAUUAAACGUUUUCGGGUAAAAUCAAUUACUGAAACUUUCGAGGGGCCUUUCGAUACCUCUUUAGCGAGUAAAUUCUAGCGAAACCUUCUACUCCCUACUUUAAUAAACUAUAUCGGUCUAAGAUUGUCUAACCGUCUGUCCAUCCGUCCGUCCGUUCGUCGCCCACCUUAUUAUCUUAUGUCAAUCCAUGUGUUUUGGUUUGGAAGAAAAAUGGCUGGAAUCGGACCACUCAUAUUACGCUUGGUUACGAAUAGUCGUGAUAAGUAAAAAUAAGAAAACAAAGCUGCAAGUACAAAGGGAUCGCGGGCCUCGAAUAACUCGCCAUGAGUAAACACAUCAAGUGCCUAUGAUUCGUUUCAACAGCCAAAUUUUUUUUUUUUUUGCUUUUUUAUUUUAUUUUCCUUUUUCAUUAACAGCAAUGUUAUUGAAAUAG
Molecule: long non-coding RNA, 2913 nt
Organism: Glossina fuscipes
Lineage: Eukaryota; Metazoa; Arthropoda; Insecta; Diptera; Glossinidae
Exons: 2
Source: RefSeq, a predicted model, not a curated record